This 692-nucleotide ribosomal RNA is filed under the name Vibrio sp. AOH-26. RNAcentral describes it as "bacterial SSU rRNA". It matches the Rfam family "Bacterial small subunit ribosomal RNA", at positions 45 to 716 of the family's 1533-position model. Lineage: Bacteria; Pseudomonadati; Pseudomonadota; Gammaproteobacteria; Vibrionales; Vibrionaceae. The record is from RNAcentral.
GGCCUAACACAUGCAAGUCGAGCGGAAACGACACUAACAAUCCUUCGGGUGCGUUAAUGGGCGUCGAGCGGCGGACGGGUGAGUAAUGCCUAGGAAAUUGCCUUGAUGUGGGGGAUAACCAUUGGAAACGAUGGCUAAUACCGCAUAAUGCCUACGGGCCAAAGAGGGGGACCUUCGGGCCUCUCGCGUCAAGAUAUGCCUAGGUGGGAUUAGCUAGUUGGUGAGGUAAUGGCUCACCAAGGCGACGAUCCCUAGCUGGUCUGAGAGGAUGAUCAGCCACACUGGAACUGAGACACGGUCCAGACUCCUACGGGAGGCAGCAGUGGGGAAUAUUGCACAAUGGGCGAAAGCCUGAUGCAGCCAUGCCGCGUGUAUGAAGAAGGCCUUCGGGUUGUAAAGUACUUUCAGUUGUGAGGAAGGGGGUAGCGUUAAUAGCGCUAUCUCUUGACGUUAGCAACAGAAGAAGCACCGGCUAACUCCGUGCCAGCAGCCGCGGUAAUACGGAGGGUGCGACCGUUAAUCGGAAUUACUGGGCGUAAAGCGCAUGCAGGUGGUUCAUUAAGUCAGAUGUGAAAGCCCGGGGCUCAACCUCGGAACUGCAUUUGAAACUGGUGAACUAGAGUACUGUAGAGGGGGGUAGAAUUUUAGGUGUAGCGGUGAAAUGCGUAGAGAUCUGAAGGUAUACCCAGUGG